RNAcentral lists this long non-coding RNA (1064 nucleotides) under Pogona vitticeps (central bearded dragon). RNAcentral's name for it is "lncRNA (ENSPVIG00000014031.1)". Lineage: Eukaryota; Metazoa; Chordata; Lepidosauria; Squamata; Agamidae. The record is from RNAcentral.
CCUGCAAAGUUCGAAAGUUUGACAACUUACUGAAACUGUGGCUUGAAAUGAUAUGUUCUGGAAGCAGAGUUGCUAUUUUAGUUCUGUGUUGAACGUAGGCCACAGCUGUUGUCUCAGUGAAGAGUGACAGAGUUAUCUUGUACUGUGUUCCCCACUUUCUUAUCCCCCAUUUGAAAGGACUAGCUAUUAUACCAUCUAGAAAUAAGUGUAUAACAUGGAAUAUCACACUUUAAGUGUUGUCCUGGCUGGAACAGGAAGGAGGAAUAUGAACCUGGAUGGCUACACUCUUUGUGUUCUGUGGGUAUUUGCUUCAAUGGAGGGAAAUGCUCUGCAGGAGCAUCUCUGACAUGCCAGUGUCCAGUGGGAUUCUAGGGUCCACGGUGCCAAUAUGGUAAGUCAAAGGUUUCAUAUUAUUCUCUGUCAACAUGGUAAUGCAAACAUAAUUGCAUUAAGUUUCCUUAGUACACCCAUUUAAACCAUCAUUUUGCGAUCAUAAAAACCUAAUCGUACAGUGAUUUCCUCAUUAAGCGAGGCAAUCGUUAAGCGAGGCGCGACUGUAUAAAAUAUAUAGCACAGAUUGGUAGCUGUGGUCCUCUAGAUGUUUUCUUUUUUCCACAUUGAACUCCCAUUGACCCUAGGUGGCCAUAGUUAACUGUGAGAAAUUAUGGGGAUUCCUGAAAUGCAGAAAGAAUUACAGCUCCCCAUGUCAGUAUAUAGUAUUUAAAUCUAGGAGGAAGAGCAUACCUAUGUAGACCUAGUGCUGUUGUGCAUGUUUUGUUGAAUCACUGAACUUCGUGCAGAGUUUGUGUGAAAUGAAUUAUAUUGGUGCAAUCUGAUAUUUGGUAAGAAUGCUGUAUCCAAGCAUGUGAAUCACAGUGACUGUGUGCCCAGUCUCCUCAGUCAAAUCUAGCACACCAUCCCUAAUGGGUUGUGAUCUACAACUGAUUAUAUGAAGUCUGCCAAGAGUCACUUUGUGUGGCUGUCAUCCACACUCGGUUCAUUUUUGCAAGCUUGUGAAGUAAUAAUGGGUCAAGAAUAAAUAGUCCGAUCUGACAUAUUGAACA